AGUGAACGCUGGCGGUAGGCCUAACACAUGCAAGUCGAACGGCAGCACAGUAAGAGCUUGCUCUUACGGGUGGCGAGUGGCGGACGGGUGAGGAAUACAUCGGAAUCUACUUUUUCGUGGGGGUUAACGUAGGGAAACUUACGCUAAUACCGCAUACGACCUACGGGUGAAAGCAGGGGAUCUUCGGACCUUGCGCGAUUGAAUGAGCCGAUGUCGGAUUAGCUAGUUGGCGGGGUAAAGGCCCACCAAGGCGACGAUCCGUAGCUGGUCUGAGAGGAUGAUCAGCCACACUGGAACUGGGACACGGUCCAGACUCCUACGGGAGGCAGCAGUGGGGAAUAUUGGACAAUGGGCGCAAGCCUGAUCCAGCCAUACCGCGUGGGUGAAGAAGGCCUUCGGGUUGUAAAGCCCUUUUGUUGGGAAAGAAAAGCAGCAGGUUAAUACCCCGCUGUUCUGACGGUACCCAAAGAAUAAGCACCGGCUAACUUCGUG
RNAcentral lists this ribosomal RNA (492 nucleotides) under uncultured bacterium. RNAcentral's name for it is "partial 16S ribosomal RNA". It matches the Rfam family "Bacterial small subunit ribosomal RNA", at positions 29 to 507 of the family's 1533-position model. The record is from RNAcentral.